This 434-nucleotide ribosomal RNA is filed under the name Microbacterium sp. R-41948. Its description in RNAcentral is "bacterial SSU rRNA". It matches the Rfam family "Bacterial small subunit ribosomal RNA", at positions 28 to 458 of the family's 1533-position model. The record is from RNAcentral. Lineage: Bacteria; Bacillati; Actinomycetota; Actinomycetes; Micrococcales; Microbacteriaceae.
GAUGAACGCUGGCGGCGUGCUUAACACAUGCAAGUCGAACGGUGAACACGGAGCUUGCUCUGUGGGAUCAGUGGCGAACGGGUGAGUAACACGUGAGCAACCUGCCCCUGACUCUGGGAUAAGCGCUGGAAACGGCGUCUAAUACUGGAUACGAGUAGCGACCGCAUGGUCAGUUACUGGAAAGAUUUAUUGGUUGGGGAUGGGCUCGCGGCCUAUCAGCUUGUUGGUGAGGUAAUGGCUCACCAAGGCGUCGACGGGUAGCCGGCCUGAGAGGGUGACCGGCCACACUGGGACUGAGACACGGCCCAGACUCCUACGGGAGGCAGCAGUGGGGAAUAUUGCACAAUGGGCGCAAGCCUGAUGCAGCAACGCCGCGUGAGGGAUGACGGCCUUCGGGUUGUAAACCUUCUUUUAGCAGGGAAGAAGCGAAAGUG